This 526-nucleotide long non-coding RNA is filed under the name Rattus norvegicus (Norway rat). RNAcentral describes it as "long non-coding RNA NONRATT011732". Lineage: Eukaryota; Metazoa; Chordata; Mammalia; Rodentia; Muridae. The record is from RNAcentral.
AUGACAUUCUAGAGACCAGGGGCAAGUCCUCAUCUGGAGUGUGGAGUUGCAGAGAUUCAGAGCCCAGGAGGCCUGGAAAGCUACAGAGCUGAGACAGCAGUGGCACCAAGGACCUGUGUCUUACCUCACCAUUUGCUACCUGGAGAGAUGGCUCUAGCUUCUUGUCUCUGAGGAGCCUAGGUCCCUUCUACUUUUUCUCAGCCUGUUCAGUUUUACCCUCUGAGGUGCUGAGGAAGCUGCUCACUACCUAUCUUGAUUCUGGGUUAUCUCAUUGAGAGGCAAAGGCAGAGCUGUGCCCACUCUGAUCUGGCCUUUGGUAUCUGGACAAAGGCCCAUGGCAAGUGUGUGCUAUGGAGGGUCCUGCUUAUUACUUCAGACCCUGGAAGUACUCACCGGGACACUUGGUGCCUUGGACUCUGAGGCUCCAUCAUGGCACCGUUCCUGCGCAUCUCCUUCAAUUCCUAUGAGCUGGGCUCCCUGCAGGCGGAGGACGACGCAAGCCAGCCUUUCUGUGCCGUGAAGAUGA